GACGAACGCUGGCGGCGUGCUUAACACAUGCAAGUCGAACGGAAAGGCCCUGCUUUUGUGGGGUGCUCGAGUGGCGAAAGGGUGAGUAACACGUGAGUAACCUGCCCCUGACUCUGGGAUAACUUCAGGAAACUGGGGCUCAUACCGGAUAGGAGCUCCUGCUGCAUGGUGGGGGUUGGAAAGAUUCGGCGGUUGGGGAUGGACUCGCGGCUUAUCAGCUUGUUGGUGGGGUAGUGGCUUACCAAGGCUUUGACGGGUAGCCGGCCUGAGAGGGUGACCGGCCACAUUGGGACUGAGAUACGGCCCAGACUCCUACGGGAGGCAGCAGUGGGGAAUAUUGCACAAUGGGCGGAAGCCUGAUGCAGCAACGCCGCGUGCGGGAUGACGGCCUUCGGGUUGUAAACCGCUUUCGCCUGUGACGAAGCGUGAGUGACAGUAAUGGGUAAAGAAGCACCGGCUAACUACGUG
This 468-nucleotide ribosomal RNA is filed under the name uncultured bacterium. RNAcentral's name for it is "partial 16S ribosomal RNA". It matches the Rfam family "Bacterial small subunit ribosomal RNA", at positions 28 to 507 of the family's 1533-position model. The record is from RNAcentral.